RNAcentral lists this ribosomal RNA (468 nucleotides) under uncultured bacterium. Its description in RNAcentral is "partial 16S ribosomal RNA". It matches the Rfam family "Bacterial small subunit ribosomal RNA", at positions 28 to 507 of the family's 1533-position model. The record is from RNAcentral.
GACGAACGCUGGCGGCGUGCUUAACACAUGCAAGUCGAACGGAAAGGCCCUGCUUUUGUGGGGUGCACGAGUGGCGAACGGGUGAGUAACACGUGAGUAUACUGUACUUGUCUUUGGGAUAACUUCAGGAAACUGGGGAUAAUACCGGAUAGGAGCUCCUGCUGCAUGGUGGGGGUUGGAAAGUUUCGGCGGUUGGGGAUGGUCUCGAGGCUUAUCCGCUUGUUGGUGGGGUAGUGGCUUACAAAGGCUUUGACGGGUAGCCGGCCUGAGAGGGUUACCGGCGUCAAUGGGCCUGCGGGACGGCGCAGAAUCGUACGGGAGGCAGCAGUGGGGAAUAUUACAGAGUGAGCGGAAGCCUGUGGCAGCGACGCCGCGAGCGGGAUACCGGCCUUCUAGUGGUAAACCGCUUUCGCAUGUGACGAGGCGUGCGUGACGGUAAUGGGUAAGAAAGCACCGGCUAACUACGUG